This 337-nucleotide small nuclear RNA is filed under the name Peromyscus maniculatus bairdii (prairie deer mouse). RNAcentral describes it as "7SK RNA (ENSPEMG00000002579.2)". The stretch from base 1 to 286 matches the Rfam family "7SK RNA". Rfam says of the family: 7SK was discovered as an abundant small nuclear RNA in the mid-70s but a possible function has only recently been suggested. Two independent studies have found that 7SK RNA binds the CDK9/cyclin T complex (known as elongation factor P-TEFb). Lineage: Eukaryota; Metazoa; Chordata; Mammalia; Rodentia; Cricetidae. The record is from RNAcentral.
ACAUGUGAGGGCAUUUGGUGGUAAGAUCUGUCACACACCAUUUAUCACAAGGUUGACUGGCUGGUCUGGUUGGCUAUAUGAGUGACACCUUCCUCCCUCACUACUUCAUAUUCAUCCUUCCUGUCGAUGCUGGCUUCUUGGAGGAUGGCCUUCUCCUACAGGUGGGGAUUAUGCCCCAGCCAAGAUGUGUGAGUAACUACACUCCCUGCUAGAACCUCCAGACAACUAAACAAGCUCUCCAGGUCCCUUUAGAAGGGACCAUUAGUUAGUCAGGAUUGUUUUUAGAGAGAGAAAAAAAUAAUCGUAAUAAACUAAUUAAAGCAGCAUAGGAUGAUUU